Molecule: long non-coding RNA, 5781 nt
Filed under: Capsicum annuum
Lineage: Eukaryota; Viridiplantae; Streptophyta; Magnoliopsida; Solanales; Solanaceae
Description: long non-coding RNA (CANN_LNC002836)
Source: RNAcentral
UUGGUUCUUGGCUACCUAAGUUGCACGAGAUUUUCCUUUCACACAACCAAUUCAGUGGAGAUCUACAAUAUGCAAUGCUUCAAAGCUUGAAAAUCUUGAAGUUGCAAACAACAGUUUUACUGGACGGCUUCCCAUGAUGUUAGGUAACCUGCAAAAUAAUCUAUUGGAAAACAAGCCUGGAGCCACAAAACUUGACUUCUUGAAUUCAUUGGUAACUAGCAGGCAUCUGGUGUACCUGAUUCUUCAAUCUAAUCCUUUGAACAGAAUAUUCCCAGAAUCAAUAGGAAAUUUAUCAAGCAACAUCAGGGUCCUUGCUGCCGGAGAAUUUAGUAUUAGAGGCAGUAUGACAAAAAACCUUGGAAAUUUAAGUAGCUUGAUUUACCUGGGAUUAGAAAGUAAUAACCUUGUCGGCAAUGUGGCCCCCUCGUUUGUUGGCCUGCAAAACCUGGAAAGGCUGUAUCUUACUGGAAAUAAAUUAGAAGGGCCAUUUCCAGCUGAACUGUGCAGCAUAGGAAGAUUAGGUCAAUUGCUGGUGGGAGAAAACAGACUAUCAGGAACGGUACCCUCAUGUAUAGGAAACCUGACUGAAUUAAGAGAAAUAUCAAUUGCUGCCAACAGUUUCAGCUCAAAGUUGCCUUCAAGUUUCUGGAGAUUAGUAAAGCUUGAUGGUCUGAACUUAUCCCGAAACCUGCUGCAUGGUUUCUUCCCUUCUGAUGUGGGAACCCUGAAAGCAAUGAGAAUCAUGGACCUCUCUUUUAGUAAGUUUUUUGGAAAAUUAUCCAAUUCCAUAGGGUCCCUUCAAAAUCUAGUUUUACUAGAUAUGUCAAGUAAUGCAUUCCAAGGUCCCACACCAGACGUAUUUAGCAAUCUAAAAGUUCUUGAGCACCUGGAUUUGUCUUCUAAUGCUUUAUCAGGUGUGAUUCCCAACUCUCUUGAGCUAUUGCGAGAUCUCAAGUAUAUCAAUGUUUCUUUCAACAACUUGCAAGGAGAAGUUCCAAAGAAAGGAGUAUUUGCAAAUCUUAAUUACCGGCUCUUGAUGGGAAAUCCAAAACUUUAGCACCUAAUAUAUUUAUUCCUUUAUGUCCAGCUCAAGGCAGAGCGACAACAAGGAAAAAGUCCCUUAUCCUUAGAACGAUAUUACCUUUUGCUGCAUCAUUUCUGAUAUUGGUCGCGUUGUUUUUCACAUGGAUGAUUUGGUCAAGGAGAAAACAUGUGGUUGGAAACAAUGAAUCAGAUUCCCCACCUAGAAUGGGAUAUCAAAAAAUCACUUAUUAUGAGCUUCUCCAAGCUACAGAAAAUUUCAGUCAGUCCAACCUAGUAGGAAGUGGAAGUUCCGGUACAGUCUACCGAGGUACAUUUGCUAGCGGUACUGUCUUUGCAAUCAAAGUUUUCAAUAUGCAACGGCAAGGGGGUUUAAGAAAUUUUGAGCAAUGUAAGACACAGGAACUUGGUCAAGAUAGUGUCAACUUGCUCAAAUGUUGGAUUUCACAGCAAUGGUGUUGGAGUACAUGCCUAAUGGAAGCUUAAACAAGAAAUUAUACUCCGAAAAAAAUUGCUUGCACCUGGUUGAAAGACUCAAUAUAAUGAUCGACAUACCACUGGCCAUGGAGUAUCUUCAUCAUGAUUAUACAGUGCCUGUCAUGCACUGUGAUCUGAAGCCAGCUAAUGUGCUUCUUGAUCAGGAUCUUACUGCUCAUGUAGCAGAUGUUGGAAUUGCAAAAAUGCUGGCACAAGAAGGAAACAUUGCUCAAACCAAAACACUCGGAACUAUUGGUUAUAUUGCUCCAGGUAUGGUAAUGUCUUGAACUGCAGGUGUCCUACGCUGGUUUCUUUUUUCCUUUACGUCUACCGUAACGUUGAUUUUCAUACCCUCUGUAGUAAUCGAUUUCUCAUGGGAAAUUCGCAUAGGCAAGAAACUUCUACUUUUAUAACAGUGACAGUGCAACAUUUUGUACUAUAACAUGGGUAACUACACAUUCAAGUACCAAAGAACACAACCUAUUGUUGUAAGAAUAGUAACCAAAUAAGUUCCAAUCAUUUCUUCCUGGCAUAUAUCUAUCACAUUUUAACUAGGAGUUUAUUGCAACAGAAUAUGGCUUAGAUGGACAAGUCUCCACCAGCAGUGAUGUUUAUAGCUUUGGGAUUUUGUUGCUUGAGACAUUCACAAGAAAGAAGACUACCAAUGACAAGUUCAGAGGAAACUUAAGCUUGCAUAAAUGGGUAUGUCUCUCCUUUCCUGAUGCUGUACUGGACAUUUUGGACGCUGACCUUGUUAGUGACAUUGGCUUUAGAAGAGUUACAGUUGAUGAAAACCAAAGCCAAAUCAAACAGUUGCUGGUUUUGAUCAUAAAUGUGGCAUUCCUAUGUUUGAAAGAGUUACCAGAGGAAAGGAUAAACAUGAGAGAGGUUGUGGUGCAGCUAAAGAAGAUAAGAGCCGAAUUAACCAAUCUUGACUCAUAUAGAAUAUGAGAAAGAGGACUGAUACAGCAACAAGAAGAUUCAGUUUUUCGAUUUCCUGCAUAUGCAUAUACUAGCUAUCUGGACUAUUUCCCCACAUUGCUCAUCUUUUUAAGGGCUAUCAUGGAAAUUCUACAUUUGAAAAUUCUUGUUAAAAGUUGCUUUAAGGAAUAAUGCACGCAAUUUAUUUUUGACUUUCUUUUUUUUUUUUUUUUACAUACAACUCAUAGUCAAAUUAGAUUCCUAUUUGUGGUAGGAGAUUGAUUAGUUAUUAUUUUUUGUAGCAAAUAGGUUUUCUUUUAUGGUAAAUUUAAUCUAUUUUUAGUUGUAAUAGCACUAUUUAAGAAGGAGUUGAUGAUCAAUAAAAUACAGAGCUUUACAAAAAAAAAAAACUCUCUGCGUUCUUCUCUAACUCAUGUCUAUUAAAACCAACAAUUGGUAUCUAGAGCCAUUUUUCUUGAGGAACCUGUGAAUGAAGAGAUGGAUUCUGAAAAUAGUUUUUCACGAAUGACUCCAUCCAUUUUUUAUGGUGAAAAUUAUCAAUUAUGAAUUGUGAGAAUGAAAACUUCCUCGGAGGCUUUUGAUAUAUUGGAAGUUGUGGAAGAGGAUUAUGAAAGUAAUUCGCUGCCAAAUAAUUCCACUAUAGCCCAAAUCAAGAGUCACAAAGAAAAGAAAAUCACGAAGUCCAUGGCGAAGGCAACUCUGUUUGUAGUUUACAAGAAUUAUGUCUCUCAUAUCACCAAAAGAAAUUUGGGAUUAUAUGAAGAAAGAAUAUGCUGGAGAUGAAAGAAUUCAAGGAAUGCAAGUACUGAAUUUAAUAAGAGAGUUUGAGUUGCAAAGAAUGAAAGACUCCGAGACAGUCAAAGAGUAUUCGGACAGAUUACUUGGCAUUGUUAACAAGGUAAGAUUACUAGGCACUGAAUUUAAAGAUUCAAGAAUUGUUGAAAAAAUUCUUGUUACAGUGCCCGAAAGGUAUGAAGCAUGUAUAACUACCUUGGAAAAUACACAAGAUUUGUCCAAAAUUACCUUGGCAGAGUUGUUAAAUUCUUUUCGGGAACUGAAACAAAGAAAACUUAUGAGGCUGGUUAUCAUGGUUGAAGGAACCUUAAUAGCCAACCACAAAACUCAAAGAAUGGGUAAAAAUAUAAAAAAAAUCACCCACCUUGUGAGCACUGUGGAAAAAUUGUUCAUCUGAGUCAUCCACCAUAUAGAUGUUGGAAAAGGCCAGACGCGAAGUGCAACAAGUGCAAUCAACUUGGCCAUGAAGCAGUUAUUUGCAAAAGAAAAUUUGAAAACCAUGAAGCAGAUGAACGUGUGGUCAAUGAAGAAGAAGAAGAAAAAAAAGAAGACAAUCUGUUUGUUGUAACAUGUAUCUCAAGUAAGGUUUCAACAAAUUUUUUGUUGAUUGAUAGCGGUUGCACCAACCACAUGACUUAUAACAAGAGUUUGUUUAAAGAAUUAAAGCCUGUUGAAAUAUCCAAAGUUAGGAUCGAAAAUGAUGAUCAGAUUUUUGUUGAUGGAAAAGAAACUGUUGUCUUUAAAACAAGUUCAGGUAAUAAAGCAAUUUCAGAUGUUCUUUAUGCACCUGAUAUUGAUCAAAUCUUGUUGAGUAUUUGUCAGUUGGUAGAAAAGGGAUACAAAGUAUUCUUUGAAGAUAAACAUUACUUCAUCAAUGAUGGUGUUGGAAAAGAAAUUUUAAACAUUAAGAUGAGAGGUAAACAUUUCGAACAUUUCUCAUUUAAUCUAAUGGAAGAUGUUUCUGUAGAACAUGUAAAAGAUCAUAGGAUGAAAAAAUUAGAAGAUAAUCCUCUAAUUGAAAAAGCACAAGCAAUAUGUGAACCUCUUAGGUUUAAAGGAGAUUUCAAUGUUUCUAAAGGAAUUAAGCAAUAAAGAGUAUCUAUGUUUCAGAAAAAUAAAAUGGGUAAAUUCAAAUUCAAGAUGCAAACAAAGAAUGAAGACACGCCAAAAGGAUUUAUUAGUCAAGGGUUGCGUUCAAGACGAGAAGUGAAUUUAGUUCAUUACAGGCCAAAAGAUGAAUCUGCAGAUUUAUUCACAAGGAAACUUUCGGUUAUCAAGUGUGGAGAUCCCAAGACAGAAAAUCAAAAUUUUGCAGUUUCUAAAGCAAGGAGGAGUGUUAAAAGUUGCUUUAAGGAAUAAUGCACCCAAUUUUAUUUUUUUUUAUUUUUAUUUUUUUUUACAUACAACUCCUAGUCAAAUUGGGAUUCUUAUUUGUUGUAGGAUACUGAUUAGUUAUUAUUUUUGGCAGCGAAUAGUUUUCUUUUAUGGUAAAUUUAAUCUAUUUUUAGUUAUAACAAUACUAUUUAAAAAGGAGUUGAUGAUCAAUAAAAUAGAGAACGUUUACAAAAAGAACUCUUUGUAUUCUUCUCUAACUCAUUUCUAUUAAACGAACACUUAUCCUAAGUUCUUAAAGUGAAUAGUUUUCGUGGUGUAUAUUAAUUCACAUCAAAUGUAGUCCUACAAGUCUUUUCUAUAUGAAUCCAUUUAAUAUCCAACUAUCUCAUUCCACUGCCAAAGGAGUGAUUCGUUCGGUUCCUCUUCAUGUUAAGCCAAGUAUUAACCUGUUUCUAACAUUUGUCAAAUUUUCUUAUCGUUCAGUUGAUUAUGCUUCAUUUUGUACUCAAUGACAUCAGCACCUGCACCAAACUUCAUAAAUAUUACACAAUAAGAAGCAAGAACUGAAGUCAUCUCAGGACACGGUUCUCUUAAUCUCCAUCUAUAAUUUUUUUCUCUUACCACUAAAACUCGAGUCUAAUUCUAUGUAAGAAACCUAUUUUACCUGGCGGGGGACCUACAAUUGCAGGAGGUGCACCACUUCCUCUCUAGAAUUGUGGCUAAAAAUAGUUAAGGACUGGACCUAGAAGUAGUUCAAAAUUCCAUCAAUGAAUCUUUUAUUGCGAUAAGACGAUUAGCCAGCAGUGAGAAGGGAUAUUUCGCUUCACGUAUAUUGGUUCUUAGACUUUAUCCUAGACUUGAUAGCUAAGUUAAUGUAGAAGCUGUUAGAACAUGCACAGCGGAAGCAACAUUUCUACGAGAUCAAUAACUUACAUAAUAUCUAGAUAACAUAAUCAAAACGAGAAUCAGAAAACUUACUUUUUAAAGCUUUCACAAAAUUCGCUCAACACUUUAUUUUUUAUGACUGCGAUCUUCUACCAAAAUCGAAUUAACUUUUUUCAAUCAACACUUGAGUGGCAAGUUAUUAUUUUUCAGAAAGCAGGAUGAACUUGAAUCAAAAAUCAACCCCUAUUUAUUUUCAAUUUCUAAUGAAGAAGGGAAGAUAAGGGGCAAAACGUUUUUGCCCUUAUU